This 465-nucleotide ribosomal RNA is filed under the name Vreelandella stevensii. Its description in RNAcentral is "partial 16S ribosomal RNA". It matches the Rfam family "Bacterial small subunit ribosomal RNA", at positions 338 to 795 of the family's 1533-position model. The record is from RNAcentral. Lineage: Bacteria; Pseudomonadati; Pseudomonadota; Gammaproteobacteria; Oceanospirillales; Halomonadaceae.
CCCACGGGGGGCAGCAGUGGGGAAUAUUGGACAAUGGGCGAAAGCCUGAUCCAGCCAUGCCGCGUGUGUGAAGAAGGCCUUCGGGUUGUAAAGCACUUUCAGUGGGGAAGAAAGCCUUGGGGCUAAUACCCUCGAGGAAGGACAUCACCCACAGAAGAAGCACCGGCUAACUCCGUGCCAGCAGCCGCGGUAAUACGGAGGGUGCGAGCGUUAAUCGGAAUUACUGGGCGUAAAGCGCGCGUAGGCGGUCUGAUAAGCCGGUUGUGAAAGCCCCGGGCUCAACCUGGGAACGACAUCCGGAACUGUCAGGCUAGAGUGCAGGAGAGGAAGGUAGAAUUCCCGGUGUAGCGGUGAAAUGCGUAGAGAUCGGGAGGAAUACCAGUGGCGAAGGCGGCCUUCUGGACUGACACUGACGCUGAGGUGCGAAAGCGUGGGUAGCAAACAGGAUUAGAUACCCGAGUAGUC